CAGCAGUGAGGGCAUGGGUGCUAAGGUCCAUGUCCGAGAGGGAAAGAACCCAGACCAUCUGCUAAGGUCCCCAAAUGUAUACUAAGUUGAUCAAACGUGGUCAGACUGCUUAGACAGCUAGGAUGUUGGCUUGGAAGCAGCCAUUCAUUUAAAGAGUGCGUAACAGCUCACUAGUCGAGCGGUCCGGCGUGGAUAAUAAUCGGGCAUAAGUAUACUACCGAAGCAAUGGACAUGAAAAUGUGGUAGGGGAGCAUUCUAGUUGCGCCGAAGGUGAAUCGUGAGGUUUGCUGGAGCGGCUAGAAAAGAAAAUGUAGGAAUGAGUAACGAUAAAGCGGGUGAGAAACCCGCUCGCCGAAAAUCUAAGGUUUCCUCAGCUAUGCUAAUCAGCUGAGGGUUAGUCGCGACCUAAGGCGAACCCGAACGGGGUAGUCGAUGGACAACAGGUUAAUAUUCCUGUACUUGUUUAUACUGCGAUGGGGUGACGAUGUACUGAAAGCACCGCGCACUGACGGAAUAGUGCGUUGAAGACUGUAUCUAUAGGACCUGUAGGCAAAUCCGCAGGACCUGGAGAAGGUCGAUAGUACCGAGAGUCUUCGGACAAUCGGAUAGUGUGCCUAAAAACAUCCAAGAAAAACCUCUAAGCUUCAGGUAUAAACAACGCGUACCGUAAACCGACACAGGUAGAUGGGAUGAGAAUUCUAAGGCGCUCGAGUGAUUCAUGGCUAAGGAACUAGGCAAAAUAGUCCCGUAACUUCGGGAGAAGGGACGCCCCCUUAUGGGGGGCCGCAGUGAAAAGGCCCAGGCGACUGUUUAUCAAAAACACAGGACUCUGCUAAAUCGAAAGAUGAUGUAUAGGGUCUGACACCUGCCCGGUGCUGGAAGGUUAAGAGGAGAUGUUAGCUUCGGCGAAGCAUUGAAUUGAAGCCCCAGUAAACGGCGGCCGUAACUAUAACGGUCCUAAGGUAGCGAAAUUCCUUGUCGGGUAAGUUCCGACCUGCACGAAUGGUGUAACGAUCUGGGCACUGUCUCAGCCAUGAGCUCGGUGAAAUUGUAGUAUCGGUGAAGAUGCCGAUUACCCGCAGCGGGACGAAAAGACCCCGUGAACCUUCACUACAACUUUGUAUUGACAUUGGACAAGAGAUGUGUAGGAUAGGUGGGAGACUUUGAAGCGUUGUCGCUAGGCAGCGUGGAGUCAACCUUGAAAUACCACCCUUCGCUUGUUUGAUGCCUAACCCCGCAAGGGGGACAGUGCAUGGUGGGUAGUUUGACUGGGGUGGUCGCCUCCAAAAGAGUAACGGAGGCUUUCAAAGGUAUCCUCAGUACGCUUGGUAACCGUACGUAGAGUGCAAUGGCACAAGGAUGCUUGACUGUGAGACUAACAAGUCGAGCAGGUACGAAAGUAGGACAUAGUGAUCCGGUGGUUCCGCAUGGAAGGGCCAUCGCUCAAAGGAUAAAAGGU
Molecule: ribosomal RNA, 1459 nt
Filed under: marine metagenome
Description: bacterial LSU rRNA
Rfam family: Bacterial large subunit ribosomal RNA
Source: RNAcentral